This is a long non-coding RNA of Sphaeramia orbicularis (orbiculate cardinalfish), 124 nucleotides long. RefSeq lists it as uncharacterized. NCBI's taxonomy places the organism in Eukaryota, Metazoa, Chordata, Actinopteri, Kurtiformes, Apogonidae. The record is from RefSeq and is a predicted model, not a curated record. The transcript has 3 exons.
UGAUAUUAUUUUACUGUGAACUUAGGCUGAAUCCCAAUUCACCCCUUGGCCCCUCCCCCUUACCCCUACUCCUCCAUUUUGCAUGUACACAUGAAUGGGGUAGUGUUGUCCCGAUUCUCAAUUA